CUGGCUCAGGACGAACGCUGGCGGCGUGCCUAAUACAUGCAAGUCGAGCGGACAGAUGGGAGCUUGCUCCCUGAUGUUAGCGGCGGACGGGUGAGUAACACGUGGG
RNAcentral lists this ribosomal RNA (106 nucleotides) under Bacillus subtilis J23. Its description in RNAcentral is "partial 16S ribosomal RNA". It matches the Rfam family "Bacterial small subunit ribosomal RNA", at positions 19 to 121 of the family's 1533-position model. Lineage: Bacteria; Bacillati; Bacillota; Bacilli; Caryophanales; Bacillaceae. The record is from RNAcentral.